Molecule: long non-coding RNA, 1605 nt
Organism: Micropterus salmoides (largemouth bass)
Lineage: Eukaryota; Metazoa; Chordata; Actinopteri; Centrarchiformes; Centrarchidae
Exons: 4
Source: RefSeq, a predicted model, not a curated record
CUAUGGCUCAGUGUGGCUCAGGCUCUUCACAGGAGCACAUCGUGUCAGCGACAGAGACGCUCGUUGGAGCUCCAGGAGAGACCAUCACUCCACUGCACUGCACUGCAAUGGAUAAGGAGGAACCAUCUUAUUUUCUUCCUUACUGAAAAUAACCACAUUGAUCGAUGCUUGAUCUGCCAAAGCAACAUUCACUUUUACGCACGGAUUCUGUGGACGCAUUAAGAGGAUUAACAUUUGCAGCCUGACACACGUGGAGGAGUUUUUAUUAUUAUUUUUAUUAUUGUUGUUAAAACGGGAUGAUGGCAACAGUUGACGGAUUCAACUCUCCAGAUGUGAAUAGUCCUGUAGGAUGUACGGAAAUACUGUCUCUUACAUGGAUGGAUGAGUGGUGUCCAUCACUCCUGCAGCCCAAAUCCUUAUGCUGGACAAGCAGCUUGUCGGACAGACGACUCUCUUGGGUGAUAUCGUGAUAUCGUUAUGGAAAUCGAUAUUUUUUGUGGUGGAUUUUGGCAGUAGCAAAGCAAUAUCAUGGAAUAUAUUUUGAAAGCGGCGCUCGGCAGAUGUCCAGCAAUUUGGUAAUCACAAUACGCAUCUCCUCAUCCAGCAGUGAAAGAAUCCAAAUUCUUGGAAUGAGAUGUCAACAUGGAAUUGCUUCCCAGGGAUCUUCUGGUGAUCUCAGGUGAGCACAGAGAAGAGGCUGAGUAAUGGAAACAUGAUCUCAAGAGAUUCAACAGGAUCAUACUAAAUCCCCGCUUGGACUGUGGACCAGCAUCCCCUGCAGCAGAUGUUUGCUCCUGGCAUGACAGUAUGAGCUCCAUCACUGACAAACUCGCUCUCAGGAUCCAGUGCCAGCAGCAUGGACUUGGAGAAGCUGUGACAUAAACUCAGCAGGACAGUGGAGUGUAAUCUGCAGCUCAGACAUUAUGGAACAGAUCAGUCAACCCUGUCUGGAGAGGUCCUCGGUAGGAAAGUCGGCUCAAUGAAUGUACACUUACCGGAGUUACCACAAUGGAUCUACACAUUGUUUGACUUUUUCUUAAGUGAACCCCGAUUAAUAUUUUCCCAUAUAUGCAUCUGCAUUUGAUAUUCAUUGUUUAUUUGCGCCAUUGCUCAUACACUGCAGUUGUGACAUAUACAGUUUUUAUUCUGGACACAGUAUCAACGAGCUGGAAAUGGAAAAUGAAAGAUUUGAUGUUAUUUUCAUUUUUAGUCCUGUUUUUAGAGACUAAGGCAGCGCUAACACCAGUGCAGUCCCAUAUAAGUUUAUCUGGUGGAGGGCACACCUAAUGUUUCCUAUUGUGUAAAUGAAUUUAUACACAUGUGAUCAAUAUUCCUCAGAUGGAUCACUCAGUCACUGGAAAUGUCAUGUUUUCAUUUGACAUCUUGAAUCUGUGAUCACAAAGAGGCCAUUGUAAUCAAGGUGCUGAUGAAUGCAAUCCAAAAACUUUUCUAUUGACAAUGCAUAUCCUUGUGACACAUUGGCAGCCUGUGUUAAUAAUGGUUAAUGACCCUGACAAGCUGUUUAUUCUAAUGAUGAUUUAUAGCUCCUCAUCCUUUGUUGUGUGUGUGAAACCCUCUUAGCAGAAAUUAAAAAAGUAUAUCCAG